UCUGUCUGUAUUGAUUGCGUUUGAUGCAUCUUAUUGGCUGGUCUGUGUAGCCAUGAUAUACAGUGCACCAAUGAGCGCGAAGUAUUUUGGCAGUCGUGACAUACGAACUACACACUACAGCCUGCUCGCUUCCAACAGCCAACGCCACAGAGGUAAUACGAGAUGGCCCGCACAAAGCCGAUUGCUCGUAAAUUCACCGGAGGAAAGGCUCCACCGGAACAGCUCGCCACCAAGGCGGCUAGGAAGAGCGCGCCCUCUACAGGAGAAGCGGAGAAGCCCAAUCGCGACAGUGCAGUUAUCACACCUUGGAGGGCUGCUGGACCAAGUGGAUUCACAAGAAUCAUGGCUCCAACAAAAGAGAUGUCUCUUGAGACCAAGGAGAGGAUUAUCAAACUUCUUGAAGAAGGUAAAGCUACACGUAUGGUUGCCAAAGAUGUGGGCUGUUCACAGUCAGCUGUAUCCAAAAUCUGGACCAAGUACAAACAGCAUGGCAAGGUUGUAAAAGUUAAGCGUACUGGCAGACCGAGGAAGACAUCCAAAUGUCAUGACAAACAACUAGAGGCCAUAUGUCUUGAAAACAGAAGAUGUACAACAAAACAAAUGAAGAUGAAAUGGGAGGAAGCUGGAGUCAAGGUAUGUGACAGAACUGUGCAAAAUCGCCUAAAGGAAAUGGGAUUUUCAUACAGCAAAGCUAAAAAGGAAACCAUCAUUGACACUUUAACAGAAAAGAACAUGACUGCAAUGGGCUAAGGAGAGGCAAUCAUGGACAAGUGAAUGACUGAAUGAAAGUUAUUUUCAGUGAUGAGUCAAGAAUCUGCAUUGGACAAGGCGAUGAUGCUGGAACUUUUGUUUGGUGCCGUUCCAGUGAGAUUUACAAAGAUGACUGCCUGAAAACAUCAAAGUUCCCUCAGUCCUUGAUGAUAUGGGGCUGCAUGUCAGGCAAUGGCACUGGGGAGAUGGCUGUGGUUAAAAUCUUCAAUAAAUGCACAAGUUUACGUUGAAAUUUUAGACAGCUUUCUUAUCGCUUCAAUUGAAAAUACGUUUGUCAUUUUCCAUCAUGCCACAGAGCUAAAACUGUUAAAGCAUUCCUUGGAGAAAGACUCAUCCACUCAAUGUCAUGGCCUGCAAAUAGCCCAGAUCUCAACCCUAUUGAAAACCUGUGGUGGAAAUUGAAAAAAAUGGUCCUCAGCAAGGCCGACCUGCAAGGAUGACCUGGCAACUGCAAAGAGUUGGCACCAAAUUGAUGAGGAAUACUGUUUGUCAUUCAUCAAGUCCAUCCCUCAGAGACUGCAAGCUGUCAUAAAAGCCAGAGGUGGUGCUACUAAAUACUGGAGAUGUUUUAUUUCUUUAUUUUUUCCAUUAUUCCAUAUAUUUUUCCUCUGAAUGGAGAGAUUCCAUAUAUAUUUCCCUGCACUUGCUCUAUAAAAGGAACAUUUACUGACCACCACAAUGUUUUUUAUUAAUUCUUUUUGUGUUUCUGAAUGCUAAAGAGUUGCACUUUUGAACUAAUUCAUUGUUUUUUGCAAACUUUUAAUCUGAGUUUGUUCCACAUAAUUGUUCUACAUAAUCAAAUGUCUGAGUGAGUGCUCGUCUACGUGAGCAGCGGCAUCAAAAAAUUCAAAGUUGUUCCCUUAUAAAAUCCCGAUUCAUUAUUUUUCGAAUAAGUAUACCUAAACUUAAAAUUCAUAUAGAAUUCUCAGAUUUUACACUAUUUACAUAAAAAUCCUCAAAUGCAGAGAUAAUCACCUAUAUUUUCAGGAUCAAUAGCAAUAUUUAACAUAUGUUUUUGCCCAAAAUAGCUACUAACAUUUUUUUCAACUGCUAAUAAAUCAAUCAAUUUUCAAAUCAGAAACUUAAUACUUGAGGAAAGCAUGCAUAAUCAAUUAUAAAUACUUUAUGAAUAGAUUAUUAAUAAAUUCUAUAUACAAUAACAGCUUAUUAUAGAAUAGAAUAGCCCUUUAUUGUCAUUAUACACUAUAUACUGUUAGCGAAUGAGGCUAGCGGCCACCUGGCAUAAAAGGAGCUUUUCUGGCGAAAAUUCUUGUGAAUAAAUGCUUAAAUCCCUGAAUUCUUUAUAGAUAUGGACGUAAAACAGUCUCGAUUCUUGGUUAAAAGCAAAGAAACUGUGCAGUUAGCGUUUAUUUUUGCGUACAUUGACGAAGUACAGUGCUACUGUGUUAGCGAAUGAGGCUAGCGGCCGCCUGGUGUAAACAGAGCUUUUCUGGUGAAAAUUCGUGUGAAUAAAUACUUAAAUCACUGAAUUCUUGGUUAAAAGUAAACUAUGAGGCUAGUCAGUUACGAAAAUUAGCCGCCUCCAUGUGUAAACAAAGAAAAAUUCAUUUGAAUAAAUGGUUCAAUCACGCAUGCAUGGUACGAAAAAUAUAAUAUUUACCUUGGAUCCUCGAACAAAUCACUCCUAGGACAAUCCUUCCUGUUCGUAUGCGGUACAGCUUUCGUAGUUCAAUCCAUUCAUUUGUAAGUAAAUCCAAGCUUAAAUCCGACGGCGUGUGCCGUCUUCGGCUGCUACCAAAUGAAGCUCGGCCCCCACUGAUAAGGCGUCGCGCAAAGAAUGACGACGUGACAUGUCAAUAGUAAUGAUGUCUAAAGCAUUACAUAGCAUUUAAACUAGCGGACAUUUGCUAUGCAAGUUGGCAAAUUGCUGUAAGCAUUAGCAUUAUAUAGCAUUUAAGCUAGCGGACGUUUGCUAUGCAGGUUAGCCAAUUGCAACAAUGCAACAACAUCUGAAUUAUUGGUGUGAGGUCAUGAUUCCCAUUAUCGGUAACCAGUAUCACGGCUUGGUCAGACACCGCUUUCACGCAUUGAAAUCACUAGACGUCCAAUCGAUUUAAAGUGGGAGGUUUGACAGUGAAGGAACGAAUCCUCAUCCAAUUUCAAAUGGAUUGGUCAUCCAAAAGUGAUAAACUCCUUGGUGGGAGGAUGUCUAGUGGCCAGGGGAAAAACGUUGUUUUUUAUUUUUAUCUCAUUGGCUGCCAUAUAUAGCGCUAGUAUGUAGCUGGCGGCCAUCUUAGGUAGGGCCACCGGAGGUUUGAAUUGCAUCUCGAAGUGAACACAUCGAUUUAUUUUCGUAGUCGAUUAAUCUAUCAACUAGUUGGUUGGAAUAGUCAAGUAAUCAGAUUAGGAAUAUUUAAUGUGUGGCAGAAUAAAUUUUAGGGAUGUAAAACAAAGUAGUACUGCAACGAUUAAUCGAUUAACUUGAGUAUUCGAUUAGAAAAAAAGAUUCAAAUUAAAUUUUGUUGCUUUGAGUAUUUAAUUAAAGUGGCGUUUUUUUUUUUGUUUUUUUUUUAAAUAAAAAAAAAAGUAAGUGGCGUUGUAAUGGUUUAUUGUGAAAGUAUUUGCAUUUAGUUUUAUUGAUUUGGGUGGAUACACUGCCCUCCGGUCUGCCUCUUUUCACAUGGCUGAAUCCAACUGCUCCCUGUUAAGGCAAACGUAAGCUGUUUUUGUUUGAGCUAAUGUUUUUUUUAAUGCAUUCAUAAUUUAGUUUAUAGGUAUAUUUAGUCGUUUUUUUGUGGGAGUUUUUAUGUGGGAAUUUUGCUGCUUCGAGUAUUCGUUUAAUUAAAGUGGUGGUGUAAUGGUUUGUUUUGAAAGUGUUCUCAUUUAGUUUUAUUGAUUUGGGUGGAUACACGGCCCUCUAGUCUACCUCAUUUUCACAUGGCUGAAUCCAUUUGCUCUCUGUUAAGACCAACAUAAGUUUUUUUUUUUUUUUUUAAUGCAUUCGUAAUUUAGUUUAAAAGGUAUGUUUAGCCAUUUAAUUUGAGAAUAUGUGUCUGACCCAUUUGUUAACAGCAUUGUAAAAAAAAUUUGCAUUUUAUAGAAUUUAAGCUAGCGGACAUUUUGGUACGUAAGUUAGCCAGCUGUUCUUUUGUUGUACAUAGAUCCUCAUUUAUUAUUAUUUUUUUUUUAUAGCGUUUGAGGCUCAGCUCAGGUAUUUUAAUUUUUUAUGUUCCUUAUCCGAUUACUCGAUUAUUCGAAUAGAUAGUUUCGAUUAGAUAGUUUCGAUUAAUUGACUACUAAAAUAAUCGAAAGCUGCAGCCCUAAACAAAGGCUUGAGAGAUGCACUGCUGGCCAAAGGUAUUGGCACCCCUGCAAUUCUGUCAGAUCGUGCUGAAUUUCUCCCAGAAAAUGAUUUCAAUUAAAAAUGCUUUGGUAGUAAUAUCUUUAUUUAUUUAGCUUGCAAUGAAAAAAUACAGGAGAUAAUGGAAAAAAAAAAUAAAUUAUUCUCAUUUUACACAAAACUUCAAAAAUGGGCCGGACAAAAGUAUUGGCACCCUUUGAAAAACCAUGUGAUGCUUCUGUAAUUUUUGUAUUCAAGAGCACCUGUUACUUAUCUGUGGCACAUAAAAGGUGGUAGCGAAAACUAAAUCACACUUGUAGCCAGUUAAAAUGGAUUAAAGUUGACUCAACCUCUGUCCUGUGUCCUUGUGUGUACCACAUUGAGCAUGGAGAAAAGAAAGAAGACCCAAGAACUGUCUGAGGACUUGAGAAGCAACAUUGUGAGGAAGCACGGGCAAUCUCAAGGCUACAAGUCCAUCGCCAAAGACCUGAAUGUUCCUGUGUCUACCGUGCGCAGCAUCAUCGUUAAGUGUAAAGCCCACGGCACUGUGGCUAACCUCCCUAGAUGUGGACGGAAAAGAAUAAUUGACGAGAAAUUUCAACGAAAGAUUGCGCGGAUGGUGGAUAAAGAACCUCGACUAACAUCCAAACAAGUUCAAGCUGCCCUGCAGUCUGAGGGUACGACAGUGUCAACCCGUACUAUCCGUCGGCUUCUGAAGGAAAACGGAAUGUAAAAAUUUCGCAAAAUUAUCCACUACAAUAGUGUUUAUGUUAACUCAUUGGCUGCCCAUGGCGGCGCUAGAUAUCCAAUUCGUUUUUCAUAUGGGAGGGGACGAAUGAACAGUCCUCCCAGGUUAAAUGAAUUUGACGUCAAUCGUUGUCUAUGGCAAAAACGAGUUCAGAAACUCAUGUUUACAAAACUGUUGCAAUAAUAUAGUGUUGCAUUGUGUAUUUACAGAAAUGUUGCAUGAAAAGACAAACUUUUUUUUUUACAUUUUUUUCUGACAAAAAUAAACAUUAUUUUCCCAGAAAUAGCUCAUUUUUCUCUUGUUGUAUCGUAGAUAAUCGUUGAUUGAUUUCUGGUCUGUCGGUGUAUAGCUAUUUAUUGUUUAGCCAUAUCAUGUGCCUUAUUGUUGUAUCGCAAUUCGUAUAGGGAAGUACCCAGUUUACCACCCCAAUAUAUAUAUCAUUCAUCAUCUAGCACUAUUUCCCUCCCUCUAUUACAUAUUUCAUUUUCACGACAUUAAAGUGUCGAUGACAGCAAAAAGCAUGUUUAUUUAAUAUUUCACGCGGUAUUUGAUGCAACUGAAUUAAAUGGACUGCUUUGCUUGUAUGUGUGUGGAAGCGAUUUAUUUAUUUUUUUAACCUGUCCUGUUCAGCUGUUUGACACGGAGAAGUCUUAAGUGUCCGGUUGGUCUGAACAGUUUUAAUGUUUCACAUUGCGUAUGACAUACAUAAAUAAGUAUUUAAUCAACCACUAAUUGUGCAAGUUCUCCGACUUGAAAAUAUUAGAGAGGCCUGUAAUUGUCAACAUGGGUAAACUUCAACCAUGAGAGACAGAAUGGGGAAAAAAAAAAAACCCAGAAAAUCACAUUGUUUGAUUUUUAAAGAAUUUGUUUGCAAAUCAUGGUGGAAAAUAAGUAUUUGGUCAAAACCUAAAGUUCAUCUCAAUACUUUGUUAUGUACCCCUUGUUGGCAAUAACGGAGGCCAAACGUUUUCUGUAACUCUUCACAAGCUUUUCACACACUGUUGCUGGUAUUUUGGCGUAUUCCUCCAUGCAGAUCUCCUCUACAGCAGCGAUGUUUUGGGGCUGUCCUUGGGCAACACGGACUCGCGUUAACGGGCGGUAAUU
RNA transcript from Corythoichthys intestinalis (scribbled pipefish), 5924 nucleotides. RefSeq lists it as uncharacterized. Lineage: Eukaryota; Metazoa; Chordata; Actinopteri; Syngnathiformes; Syngnathidae. The record is from RefSeq and is a predicted model, not a curated record. The transcript has 3 exons.